This 255-nucleotide ribosomal RNA is filed under the name uncultured bacterium. Its description in RNAcentral is "partial 16S ribosomal RNA". It matches the Rfam family "Bacterial small subunit ribosomal RNA", at positions 100 to 353 of the family's 1533-position model. The record is from RNAcentral.
GACGGGUGAGUAACGCGUGGGUAACCUGCCUUAUACAGGGGGAGUAACAGUCAGAAAUGGCUGCUAAUACCGCAUAAGCGCACAGAGCUGCAUGGCUCGGUGUGAAAAACUCCGGUGGUAUAAGAUGGACCCGCGUUGGAUUAGCUUGUUGGUGGGGUAACGGCCCACCAAGGCGACGAUCCAUAGCCGGCCUGAGAGGGUGAACGGCCACAUUGGGACUGAGACACGGCCCAGACUCCUACGGGAGGCAGCAUG